UACGUAGGGUGCGAGCGUUAAUCGGAAUUACUGGGCGUAAAGCGUGCGCAGGCGGUUUGUUAAGACAGGUGUGAAAUCCCCGGGCUCAACCUGGGAAUGGCGCUUGUAACUGGCAGGCUAGAGUGUGUCAGAGGGAGGUAGAAUUCCACGUGUAGCAGUGAAAUGUGUAGAGAUGUGGAGGAAUACCGAUGGCGAAGGCAGCCUCCUGGGAUAACACUGACGCUCAGGCACGAAAGCGUGGGGAGCAAACAGG
RNAcentral lists this ribosomal RNA (253 nucleotides) under uncultured bacterium. Its description in RNAcentral is "partial 16S ribosomal RNA". It matches the Rfam family "Bacterial small subunit ribosomal RNA", at positions 524 to 776 of the family's 1533-position model. The record is from RNAcentral.